GUGCCAGCCGCCGCGGUAAUACGAAGGGGGCUAGCGUUGCUCGGAAUUACUGGGUGUAAAGGGUUCGUAGGCGGUGUGGCAAGUCGGGAGUGAAAUCCCUGGGCUCAACCCAGGGGCUGCUUCCGAAACUGCUGUGCUAGAGUGUGGGAGAGGUGCGUGGAAUUCCUGGUGUAGCGGUGAAAUGCGUAGAUAUCAGGAGGAACACCGGUGGCGAAGGCGGGUCUCUGGGCCAUUACUGACGCUGAGGAGCGAAAGCGUGGGGAGCGAACAGGAUUAGAUACCCUGGUAGUCCACGCCGUAAACGUUGGGCGCUAGGUGUGGGGCCUGUUUCCACGGGUUCCGUGCCGGAGCUAACGCAUUAAGCGCCCCGCCUGGGGAGUACGGCCGCAAGGCUAAAACUCAAAGGAAUUGACGG
Molecule: ribosomal RNA, 415 nt
Filed under: uncultured bacterium
Lineage: Bacteria
Description: bacterial SSU rRNA
Rfam family: Bacterial small subunit ribosomal RNA
Source: RNAcentral